RNAcentral lists this ribosomal RNA (422 nucleotides) under uncultured Puia sp. Its description in RNAcentral is "bacterial SSU rRNA". It matches the Rfam family "Bacterial small subunit ribosomal RNA", at positions 355 to 774 of the family's 1533-position model. Lineage: Bacteria; Pseudomonadati; Bacteroidota; Chitinophagia; Chitinophagales; Chitinophagaceae. The record is from RNAcentral.
UAAGGAAUAUUGGUCAAUGGACGCAAGUCUGAACCAGCCAUGCCGCGUGGAGGAUGAAGGCCCUCUGGGUUGUAAACUUCUUUUAUCUGGGAAGAAACCCAUCUUUUCUAAGGUGGUUGACGGUACCAGUUGAAUAAGCACCGGCUAACUCCGUGCCAGCAGCCGCGGUAAUACGGAGGGUGCAAGCGUUAUCCGGAUUCACUGGGUUUAAAGGGUGCGUAGGUGGGCAGGUAAGUCAGUGGUGAAAUCUCCGGGCUUAACCCGGAAACUGCCGUUGAUACUAUCUGUCUUGAAUAUAGUGGAGGUGAGCGGAAUAUGUCAUGUAGCGGUGAAAUGCUUAGAUAUGACAUAGAACACCCAUUGCGAAGGCAGCUCGCUACACUAUCAUUGACACUGAGGCACGAAAGCGUGGGGAUCAAACA